Bactrocera latifrons is the source of this 381-nucleotide long non-coding RNA. RefSeq lists it as uncharacterized. NCBI's taxonomy places the organism in Eukaryota, Metazoa, Arthropoda, Insecta, Diptera, Tephritidae. The record is from RefSeq and is a predicted model, not a curated record. The transcript is spliced from 2 exons.
AAUAACUUAAAUAAUUUUUUUUAAAUUCGAAUUAUAUUUUUAAUUGUUUGCGCCUUGACUUCUUUCAUAUUCACGCUUCUUCAAAUUAACUAAUUUCCAACUUGUAAAAACUUCAAGUUGGCAACUCUCCGGCAAAACAGUAACUACGAAAGAUACAAAAAAUAAAACAUUUUUCAAUUAAUUGGCGACGAAAAAAGCCACAACAAUCGCUUUAGCAUCUUCUUUUUGGCGCUAUUUUUUAUGCUGACCGUGCUCUUCAUCCACUGCCACCUCACAGUUCGUACCUAUCAGCGCAGAAGGGGAGGCGCCUACGCCCAGUAUAGGGGCAGACCAAUACGACCGCUGCGAACCUUCGCCUGAGCUUUCCUUUGAGAUUUUGAC